This 8340-nucleotide long non-coding RNA is filed under the name Gossypium barbadense (sea-island cotton). RNAcentral's name for it is "long non-coding RNA (GBAR_LNC003079)". The record is from RNAcentral. Lineage: Eukaryota; Viridiplantae; Streptophyta; Magnoliopsida; Malvales; Malvaceae.
UGGGAACGAGUGAUCUUGCUGUAAUAAUUUAAAUUGACACGCUCGUAAAACCCAACGAUGAGGUACGUUUCGUAUAUGCAUUAGGGUGGUGAUUCCGUUUAAAUAAUAUUUGCUCAGUAAAUUAAUGAGCUUCCGGCCUUGGCUAAGUUGAUCUUUUGUGUAUGAAUAUAAGGAUUGGUAAUGUGAAGUAAGUAUGAUAUUGAGAAUUUGUGCAUAUGAGAUUAUCCGUUUAGCCAUAUGAUUGCUAUACUUUGGUUGUGUCUAAUUUCAUGGCUCAAACUUACUAAGCAUUAAAUGCUUACUCCGUUUCUUUGAUUCUCUGUUUUAUAGAUUUUGGGUUCGUCAGCUAUCGGACUCGGGAUUAUUGAAGUCGAAGUCUCCCACACUAUCAAAGCCCCUUUUUGGUACACUUUUGGUUGAACUUUGAAAUGGCAUGUAUAGGACUACCCUUUUUGUUGUUGGUCAUGGACCCUUUGGUUUUGUAUAAAUUUGGAUAGCCAUGCGAAAAUGGCUUAUAUACACUUUGAGCUUAAUAUUAUAAUCGUCUUGUACGAUGUUCAUUAAGAGGUAUGGAAAUGUUUGGGAACGAUUAGCCAUUGGAAUGGUUAAUCAUGAUCAUAUUUUGUGCUAUAUAUGCUAAAGGGCUAGUUGAAUCAUGUAAACUAUGUAAUAGGUAAAGUUUACCCUAAAGGCUGAUGCUGGCAGCAGCAGUGAUGUGGCAGCAGUAGGAAUGGAAUUAAAUAGUGAACAAAUUAUGUAAUCGAACCUUGAUGAAUCUAUUUUCAUAGGAAAGUAACAGAACGGUCAUAUGAAUAGUAUAUUAUGAGAUGUUAAAGUUUUCGUGAAACAGGGCCAGAACGGUUUCUGGAUUCCCUGUUCCGAAUUUGGAAAUUCAUUAUAAAUUAACUAGAGAUAAUUAGAAGUCAUUCCUUACAUUUAUAGAUUCCUUGUUGAGUCUAGUUUCAUUAGAAACAAACGGAAUCAGUAUUGAAGCCCUGUACAGGGAGAUAUCCGAGUCGUAAUGCGCAAAGGUCAGUGUAGUCGAACCCUGAAAUAGGGGGGACUUUAACAAAUAAACUGUACUAAUUGGCUCGACCAAAAAUUCUAGAAAAAAAUUUGUAGAUGAACAUAUGAGUCUAGUUUCAGGAAAAAUUUACGAAACUGGUUUUCGAGUUUUGAAACUCAAGAUAUGAUUUUUAAGGCGGCAGUGACGCAGUAACCAGCUUGUCUGGAAAAUUUUCAAAUGGACUGUGAAAAUAAAUGUAUUAUGUCUGUUAGCACCUCGUGUUCGACUCCGGCAAUGGUCUCGGGUACGGGGUGUUACAAUUAAAUUGGUAUCAGAGCUACGGUUUAGUCGAUUCUAGGACUACCGUACUACGUUUGGGUCUAGCUAUACAUGCCAUUAUGUGAUUAUUUGAUAGUGUGGUGAUUUCUGACUUUUGCAAAUGUGUGUAUUUAUAGUAAUGGAUCCCGAUCCCGACCGAGCGGUAGCUGAUGAUCUUGAGAGUGUAGCGCCUGCUCCCGCACAAGGGACAGCUCCGGCGGACUCUCAACCUAUUGCUAGUAAUCCGAAUGAUGAAGCUAGACAAGCUUUCUAUAGCGUGAUGAAUGAUUGGUUCAACCAAUACAUUCGAACUAAUACGGCUGUUCCACAACCUCCAUUCCCGACUAAUGCCACCCCCGCACCUACAAUACCUCUGGCAACUGACCAAAUAAGGUCAAAUAAGCCCCCAGUUGACAGAAUCCGAAAACACAGGGCUACUGAAUUUAAGGCUACGGAUAGCGAUGAUGCUGAGCAAGCUGAAUUUUGGUUGGACAACACUAUUCGGGUACUCGAUGAGCUAUCUUGCACACCCGAUAAGUGCCUAAAGUGUACUAUCUCCUUGCUACAUGAUUCUGCCUACUAUUGGUGGAAUACGUUGACUUCUGUUGUGCCCAGAGAGCAAGUAACUUGGGAGUUCUUUCAAACCGAGUUUCGAAAGAAGUAUAUCAGUCAGAGAUUCAUCGACCAAAAACGAAAGGAAUUUCUUGAACUCAAACAAGGUUCCGUGUCGGUUACCGACUAUGAACGAAAAUUUGUGAGGCUUAGCCGAUACGCGCGAGAAUGCAUUUCUUCAGAGGCCGUGAUGUGUAAACGUUUCGAGGAUGGACUGAAUGAUGAUAUAAAGCUGUGUGUUGGCAUUUUAAAAAUUCGAGAAUUUGUGGUACUCAUCGAGCGAGCUUCCAAAGCUGAGGAGCUCAGUAUGGAGAAAAGAAAAGCUGAUAUGGGAGCAAAGGAGUUUCGUAAGAGGUCUUCGGGGAGGCCCUUUCAACAGUCAUCGAAGAAAUUUAGAGAUGAUUUAGGCCGAUCUAGAAAAACUUCGGGCUUUUCUAGACGAGAUCACGAUCGACCCCCUGUGAGUGCACGAGUCACUUCGGUUAGAACUGAUCGUCGAGACAGAGCGAAGUGACAGUAUUGUGAUAAAUGGCAUUCGGGGAGUUGUAGAUUCCAUGACCGCUCCUGUUACAAGUACGGGUCAGUUGACCACUUUAUUAAAGAUUGCCCGAGGUUGUCUGAAGAAAAUGUAAAUCAGAGUGGGAAACCGGGUGCUACCACUGCUCGAGGUAGACCAUCUAGAAAUACAGGCAAUGCUAGUGGUGGUCAGAGAGGAUCUAGAGAUGCAACGACCAGAUCUGAGGCUCGUGCUCCUGCUAGAGCUUAUGCUAUACGCGUACGCGAGGAUGCUUCCUCGCCAGACGUUAGUACCGGUACUUUUACUCUCUUUGAUUCUAAUUUGAUUGCUUUGAUUGACCCCGGUUCUACUCAUUCUUAUAUAUGUGAAACCUUAGCAUCCAGUAAGACUUUACCUAUUGAGUCUACUGAGUUCGUAAUUCGGGUGUCAAAUCCCUUGGGUCGUUAUGUGCUUGUCGACAAAGUGUGUAAGAAAUGUCCCCUAGUAAUUCGAGGUUCCUAUUUUCCGGUGAACUUGAUGCUUUUUCCGUUUGAUGAAUUUGAUGUUAUCCUCAGUUUAGAUUGGUUGACCGUGCAUGAUGCGGUUGUGAAUUGCAAAAGCAAGACUAUUGAAUUGAGGUGCGCAAAUAACGAGAUAAUCCGAGUGGAGUCUACGGACUUAAAGGGGUUGCCAGCUGUAAUAUCAUCAGCGUUGGCCCAGAAAUAUGUAAGAAAGGGGUGCGAAGCAUACCUUGCGUAUGUACUUGAUGACAAAGAGUUAGAAAAGAAACCCGAAUCUGUGCCGGUGGUUUGUGAAUACCCGGAUGUUUUUCCCGAGGAAUUACCGGGUUUACCACCUGUUCGGGAGGUAGAGUUUGGUAUUGAGCUUGUACCUGGGACUACGCCGAUUUCGAUAGCUCCGUAUCGUAUGGCACCAAACGAGUUAAAAGAGUUGAAAGCUCAGUUGCAAGAAUUGAUAGAUAGAGGUUUCGCUCGACCAAGUUUCUCUCCUUGGGGUGCACCAGUAUUGUUUGUGAAAAAGAAGGACAGAACCAUGAGGUUGUGCAUCGACUAUCGUCAGCUGAAUAGAGUGACAAUAAAGAAUAAACAUCCGUUACCGCGUAUUGACGAUUUGUUUGAUCAACUAAAGGGAGCCUCGGUGUUUUCAAAGAUAGAUUUGAGAUCGGGUUAUUACCAGUUGCAAAUUCGAGAUUCAGAUAUACCCAAAACUGCUUUCAGAACGAGAUACGGUCACUACAAGUUCUUAGUGAUGCCGUUUGGGCUCACUAAUGCCCCUGCGGUAUUUAUGGAUUUGAUGAAUCAGAUCUUCAGACAGUAUUUGGACCGGUUCGUAGUUGUGUUCAUUGAUGACAUCUUGGUCUAUUCAAGAGAUGAGACCGAACAUGCUGAGCACCUGAGAUUAGUGUUGCGAAUUUUACGGGAUAAGCAGUUAUAUGCUAAGUUCAGUAAGUGUGAGUUCUGGUUAAGAGAGGUUAGCUUCUUAGGUCAUGUGGUAUCCGCAUCGGGUAUUCGAGUUGAUCCGAGCAAAAUUUCAGCCAUACUUAAUUGGAAGCCUCCGAGAAAUAUUACUGAGGUUCGGAGCUUUUUGGGACUUGUCGGUUACUACCGACGGUUUGUAAAAGGUUUCUCGAUGAUAGCCACACCGAUGACGAAACUACUUCAGAAAGAUGUUAAGUUCGAAUGGACGGAAAAAUGUCAGAAAAGUUUUGAUCAACUGAAAACUUAUUUGACUGAAGCUCCAAUUCUAGUGCAGCCCGAAUCAGGCAAGGAGUUCGUCAUUUAUAGUGAUGCAUCCCUACUUGGGUUGGGUUGCGUAUUGAUGCAAGAAGGUCGAGUUGUGGCCUAUACGUCGAGACAAAUAAAGCCAUAUGAGAAAAAUUAUCCGACCCAUGAUCUUGAACUAGCUGCCAUUGUGUUCGCCUUGAAAAUAUGGCGACAUUACUUAUUUGGUGAGAAGUGCCAUGUAUUUUCGGAUCACAAAAGUCUCAAAUAUUUGAUGACUCAAAGAGACUUAAAUCUACAACAAAGACAUUGGCUCGAGUUGUUAAAAGAUUAUGAGCUUGUCAUUGACUAUCACCCGGGAAAGGCUAAUGUGGUUGCGGAUUCCUUAAGCCAUAAAUCACUGUUUGCUUUACGAGCGAUGAAUGUACACUUGUCUGUUCUAUCCGACAAUGUGUUAGUGGCGGAAUUAAAGGCCAAACCAUUGUUGAUUCAUCAAAUUCGUGAAGCUCAGAAAGUCAAUGAUGAAUUGGUUGCAAAACGGGUUGAAUGUGUUCCGAAUAUGGAAUCAGAGUUUCAAAUUGAUGAUGACGAUUGUUUGAGGUUCAGAAGUCGGUUGUGUGUUCCAAGAAAUUCAGAACUCAUUUCGAUGAUUCUGAACGAAGCUCAUUGUAGCCGAAUGUCAAUUCACCCGGGGAGUACAAAAAUGUACAAUGAUCUGAGACGUCAGUUUUGGUGGCAUGGCAUGAAACGAGACAUUUCCAAUUUUGUCUCAAAGUGUUUAAUAUGUCAGCAAGUGAAGGCGGAACAUCAAGUGCCUACGGGUUUACUUCAGCCGAUCAUGAUACCUGAAUGGAAAUGGGAUAGAAUCACGAUGGAUUUUGUGUCUGGGUUGCCAUUGUCGACAAGUAAGAAAGAUGCGAUUUGGGUUGUUGUUGAUAAACUAGCUAAAUUGUAUGUUUCUCAGAUUGUGAGAUUACACGGGGUACCGAUUUCUAUUGUGUCGGAUAGAGAUCCGAGAUUCACCUCGCGAUUUUGGAAGAAAUUGCAAGAAGCUUUGGGUACCAAGCUGUAUUUUAGCACCGCUUUUCAUCCACAAACCGAUGGUCAAUCCGAGCGGAUAAUUCAGAUACUUGAGGAUAUGUUGAGAUGUUGCAUCCUCGAGUUUAGUGGCUCAUGGGAGCGGUAUUUACCUUUGAUUGAAUUCACUUACAACAAUAGUUUUCAAUCAAAUAUUAAGAUGGCACCUUACGAGGCUUUGUACGGGCGUAAAUGCCGUACACCAUUGUUUUGGACCGAGCUCGGUGAAAGUAAAAUUUUCGGAGUUGAUUUGAUUAAAGAUGCUGAACGGAAAGUAAAAGUAAUCCGUGAAAGUCUGAAGGCAGCCACAGAUCGCCAGAAGUCGUACGCGGAUUUGAAACGAAAAGACAUUGAGUAUCAGGUGGGAGACAAAGUGUUUCUUAAGGUUUCACCUUGGAAAAAUAUAAUCAGAUUUGGCCGUAAGGGAAAAUUGAGUCCGAGAUUCAUUGGGCCGUAUGAAAUAUCCGAACGAGUUGGUCCAGUUGCGUAUAGAUUGAUUUUGCCCCCUGAACUUGAAAAGAUUCACGACGUCUUUCAUGUUUCGAUGCUUCGACGUUAUAGAUCUAAUCCAUCGCACAUAAUUAAUCCAUCAGAGGUUGAAAUUCAACCUGAUAUGAGUUAUGAAGAAGAACCGAUUCGUAUCCUGGCUCGUGAAGUGAAAGAGUUACGAAACAAAAGGGUUCCGUUAGUGAAAGUGUUAUGGCUCAAACACGGGAUCGAAGAAGCUACUUGGGAAACCGAGAAUGCCAUGAAAGAACGAUACCCAAACCUAUUUACCGGUAAGAUUUUCGGGGACGAAAAUUUCUUAAGUGGGGGAGAGUUGUGACAGCCCUAAAUUGACCCUAGUUGGAAAGUUGUUUCGGGACCACGAAACCGAGUCUUAUGAAAAAAUUAAAGGUUAUAUUCUGUGUUUAUGAUGUGCGUAAAUGCUUGUGUGAUAGUUCCAUACUUUAAUUUGGUCAGUGUAUGUGAAAUUUAUUAGUAGGGACUUAUGUGAGACAAUUUAGAAAUAUGCUAGGCAAGUGUUAAAGAGGCCUAUUAAUAUAUGUGGGAAAGUUCUUGUCCUUGCAUGUCAAAUUAGCCAAAUUAAAGCAUAGUGGCCGGCCAUGCUAUGGGUGGAAACAUGUCACAAACAUGUUAUGUUAGUGAUGUAUGUUUGGAAAAAUAAAAUAAAGAGCAUGGUAAUAAAAUAAUGAAAGGGAAUAUGAUGAAAACAAAGAAAAAAAAAGUGUCCAUCCUUUUUCAUUUCUUUUGGCCGAAUGUUCUAAGGAAGAAGGAAGGAGCUCUUGCUUCAUGUUUGGCUUGGAAGAGGAUUAGGAGGAGGUUCGGCCAUACUUGUGUCUAGGAUAAGGUAUGUUUGAUGUUGUGCCAUGAGACUCAUGCAUGUUUUUAGUUGUUAGCUUGAGUUCUAACUAGCCCAUGGUUCAAAUCUUUGCUAUGUCAUGGAGAUGAUAUUCGGCUAAGGUGGAUUGGUGUUGAUGUCAUUUCCAUGCUAAAAGUGAAGCUUUGUAAUGAUGCAUGUGAUGGUGGAUUGAUGACUCUUGAAUCUUCUUUUUAGCAUUUUUGAGUGAGACAUUAAGUUCUUUGUUUAACCAUGACCAAAAUUGAAAUGGUACGGGGUUGUGAUGCAUUCGGCCAUGGUAGGAAGUAGAAGAGAAAUGUGGUUGUUGUUCACGUUAUUUAGAUGAGAAAUGGUAGUAAGGUGAAGUGCAAAUGUUAGUGUUUGAUUUACUAGUAUGUAUAUGUGUAUUAGCCGAGUUUUGAAUUUGAAACAAAAUGGUAUGUAGUCAAUACAAGUAACCAUAUUUGUAGGAAGUAUUAAGCAUAUACUUGGCCUCAACCUAGACAUGUAUAUUCGGCCACAUGAGAUAGGUUGGUGUUGCAUGUGUUCGGUUAGAGGCAAGCAUAUUGAUGCUUUUAUCUUGGCUUAGAUAAUCGGCUAAAAGAGAGUGUGGGCUAAAAUGUUGAGUUUGAUUCAUGAUUUCCAUAUAUAUAUGUGACUUUAAUGCCUAAUGUAUAUAUGGGCUAAGUACCUUGAGGUUCUCUUUUGAUGUUCAAAUGAAUUGUGUUAAAUUGCUUAAUGUGAUUAAAAAUGCGCAUGACCAUUGUGUAUUUGAGCUAAAAGGUGGCCAUAUGACCUAUCAAGCUUCUUGUCAUAUUCGGCCAUAAGCUAGCAUAAUGAGACUUUAAUAAGUUAAAUUUGUUUGAAUUAGCUCAAGAGCUUAGAGGACCACAGUUGGAAAAGGGAAAGGAAAAAGUUAUCGAAUAGCCGCCGAAAACGUUCGACCACAUCCGAGGUAAGUUUUCGAGCAAUGAGACUUAGUUUAUGAUUUGAUUAAGUCAUAAUGUAUGUGCAUAGAGAUCUAGUUAUAAAGAAAACUAAACCAUGCUGUUUGUAUGUGGCUAGUGAGCCAAAAUAGGAAUGCUUAAUACGUGACUUGUGUUCGAACUCUAAUUGUAAAAAUGAAAUUAGAUGUGUCAUGAUUUAUUGAUAUGUGCAUGGAUGUUCGGAUGAUAACCGGGCUAAGUCCCGAGAGCAUUUGAGCUAGUGGCUAAUUCCGGGCUAAGUCCCGAAGGCAUUUGUGCGAGCUACUAAUUCCAGGCUAAGUCCCGAAGGCAUUUGGGCGAGCAACUAAUUCCGGGCUAAGUCCCGAAGGCAUUUGUGCGAGUUAUUAUACCGGGCUAAGUCCCGAAGGCAUUUGUGCAAGUUACUAUAACCGGGCUAAGUCCCGAAAGCAUUUGAGCUAGUGGCUAUAUCCGGCUAAACUCCGAAGGUACUUGGUUUGGGAACGAGUGAUCUUGCUGUAAUAAUUUAAAUUGAUACACUCGUAAAACCCAACGAUGAGGUACGUUUCGUAUAUGCAUUAGGGUGGUGAUUCUGUUUAAAUAAUAUUCGCUCAGUAAAUUAAUGAGCUUCCGGCCUUGGCUAAGUUGAUCUUUUGUGUAUGAAUAUAAGGAUUGGUAAUGUGAAGUAAGUAUGAUAUUGAGAAUUUGUGCAUAUGAGAUUAUCCGUUUAGCCAUAUGAUUGCUAUACUUUGGUUGUGUCUAAUUUCAUGGCUCAAACUUACUAAGCAUUAAAUGCUUACUCC